This 273-nucleotide long non-coding RNA is filed under the name Hordeum vulgare. RNAcentral's name for it is "long non-coding RNA (HVUL_LNC005489)". Lineage: Eukaryota; Viridiplantae; Streptophyta; Magnoliopsida; Poales; Poaceae. The record is from RNAcentral.
GGCAGACGAACUCCGUCAGCCCCCGCUCCACCUCCAGCGUCUCGCUGCACCCCGCGCAGCGCACCUCCAGGAGCUCCGUGGUGUCCUCGGCCGCCGCCGCCGUGGCUAACGGCGGUGGCGCCAUCGCAUUCGAGCAAGCUUAGGGCGUGGUUUCCGUUCCGGCGGCGGGGUCGGCACGGGCACGGUGGAUGUGGGCUAGGGGUUUGCGGCCCCACGGUGGGUUUGGGUUUUGCGUUCUUUGGCGCUGGGCUGCCUUCCACUGCUGCAGGUACA